RNAcentral lists this ribosomal RNA (27 nucleotides) under Lotus edulis. Its description in RNAcentral is "partial 18S ribosomal RNA". The record is from RNAcentral. Lineage: Eukaryota; Viridiplantae; Streptophyta; Magnoliopsida; Fabales; Fabaceae.
CUACCUGGUUGAUCCUGCCAUGAGUCA